AAGCAGAGGGGGGAACCAGGCCAGGAAAUUUUCUGGUAAUGUGCCUGCCCGCAUCACAGGGAGGCGGGCGGCACGCUUCCCUGUGGGUAGGGUCUGGCCGACAUACAGGGCCCUCUGUUCCCUUAAGACGGGAGUCGCCUACCACAGCUCCUCUCUUUCCUUCUUGGUGGAGGCGACCUUGAGGUGCGGAGUUGACUGCCUCGCCCUGGACAACCUCCUGAGUGGACCACGCCCUGUGUGCCCACACUCCUGGGAGCCGCCAUCACUUCCAGCUCAGAGUUGGGCGUCGACCACCCUGAGGGGAGCGCAGGUGCUCCCUGCGCCCUCCCUGCGCUCAUUCCUGCUUCUUGCCCAGAGAUUUCUUGUGACGGCCCAGCUACGUUGUCACCCUCUUCUUCCAUCUCCAUCUGAGGAGUUUCUUUCCUUACGACACCAGCUGACUUUUGCAGCCAGUUUGUUUUGUCUCGUGUCUGUGACUGACACCGUACGGAAGCAGCCCUCAGACCUGACCGCACUGCCCACACGCAGGGGAAUAGCCCAGGCUGUCAGGCAGCUGGCAGCAGCCCUGAGGCUGACAUGUACCCUGAACACGAUGGCACCCCAAGCCCAGAAAGAAGUGCGGAGCUGGGCUGCCCCUGCCAGAGCAGCGAUGGUCCGUGAGGAUGCUGGACACUUUGUCUCCCUCGCGGAUGGGCCCAGAACCCAGCGCAGCCUGGAUUGGCCCACGGGGAGGAAGGUCUGGGAAGGCGCUGGGGAGGAAAGAACCCUGUGGUCGAGGUCUCUACCUCUGCCCACUUCAGGAAAAGCAGCAAAGAAUGAAGCCAACAAAGGAGUGUGAGGUCACCCAGCUUUAUUGUGUUGGCUGCUGGGGACAGCAUCAAAGAUGUACGUAGGAGCAGCAGCUGGGGAUGGAACAGAGCUGCCCGUACGUACAUCGUUGAUGCUGGCUGUGGAGAUGUUCAUUGUGAAGAUGGACUCGGCAGUGUCUCGGUGUUAUUGUGUUGGCUGCUGGGGACCAGAGCCAGCAGUUGGGGAUGGAACACAGCUGCUUUUACAUAGAUCUUUGAUGCUGGCUGUGGUGAUGUUCAUUUUGAAGGUGGACUUGGGAGUGUCUCGGUGUUCGCAACGGCUCCCGCUCUCAUGGUCUCCUCAGGGCCGGCUGUGGGAAUUUGCAGCCUAACGACCCACUGUGGAACAGGUUUGUGUGCGGGACCGUCCUUGGCGUGUGGACUGUCGCCUGUCUUCAGGCAGCGAGGACUCCCUCAAGGGCAUCUGCCUGCUGCCACGGUGUCUUCUGGGCCGGUUUGGUGAAUGUGAGGCCCGAGCGCGUAAUGGGGAGCGGCUUCGCGUCUGGCCUGCCCGCCGCUGCCUGAGACGCAUUGUGUGAGCAGCUGCUGGGGACUCUGUGGAGGACCCCGAUGCCCUCUGUCUGGUGGAGGUCUGGGAGCU
Molecule: long non-coding RNA, 1449 nt
Filed under: Gallus gallus (chicken)
Lineage: Eukaryota; Metazoa; Chordata; Aves; Galliformes; Phasianidae
Description: lncRNA (ENSGALG00010007674.1)
Source: RNAcentral